Molecule: ribosomal RNA, 446 nt
Filed under: uncultured bacterium
Lineage: Bacteria
Description: partial 16S ribosomal RNA
Rfam family: Bacterial small subunit ribosomal RNA
Source: RNAcentral
CCUACGGGUGGCAGCAGUCGAGAAUCAUUCACAAUGGGGGAAACCCUGAUGGUGCGACGCCGCGUGGGGGAAUGAAGGUCUUCGGAUUGUAAACCCCUGUCAUGUGGGAGCAAAUUAAAAUGAUAGUACCACAAGAGGAAUAGACGGCUAACUCUGGGCCAGAAGCCGCGGUAAUACAGAGGUCUCAAGCGUUGUUCGGAAUCACUGGGCGUAAAGUGUGCGUAGGCUGUUUCGUAAGUCGUGUGUGAAAGGCGCGGGCUCAACCCGCGGACGGCACAUGAUACUGCGAGACUAGAGUAAUGGAGGGGGAACCGGAAUUCUCGGUGUAGCAGUGAAAUGCGUAGAUAUCGAGAGGAACACUCGUGGCGAAGGCGGGUUCCUGGACAUUAACUGACGCUGAGGCACGAAGGCCAGGGGAGCGAAAGGGAUUAGAUACCCUUGUAGUC